CAAGCAAGCCAUCUUAUCGCCCCGACAAGUCGGGGAGGAAAGUCCGGGCACCAUAGGGAAGCAUAGCGGCUAACGGCCGUCACCCCGACUUGUCGGGGAAGGACUAGUGCAACAGAAAGGAUGUACAGGUAAUGCUGUAGUGAAAUCAGGUAAACUCUAUGCGGUGAAAUGCCACGUAAGCCUACGUUUGAGGGUACCCGCCCAAUGUAGGUGGGUAGGCAGAUUGAUCUUGACAGCAAUGUCUCGACUAGAUAAAUGAUAAGAACGUCUCGAUUAGUCGAGAUAUGACAGAACCCGGCUUAUCGGCUUGUUUUUAAA
This 318-nucleotide RNase P RNA is filed under the name Roseivirga sp. E12. RNAcentral describes it as "RNase P RNA component class A". It matches the Rfam family "Bacterial RNase P class A". Rfam says of the family: Ribonuclease P (RNase P) is a ubiquitous endoribonuclease, found in archaea, bacteria and eukarya as well as chloroplasts and mitochondria. Its best characterised activity is the generation of mature 5'-ends of tRNAs by cleaving the 5'-leader elements of precursor-tRNAs. Cellular RNase Ps are ribonucleoproteins. The record is from RNAcentral. Lineage: Bacteria; Pseudomonadati; Bacteroidota; Cytophagia; Cytophagales; Roseivirgaceae.